UGGGGAAUAUUGCACAAUGGGCGAAAGCCUGAUGCAGCGACGCCGCGUGGGGGAUGACGGCCUUCGGGUUGUAAACCCCUUUCAGCAGGGAAGAAGCGCAAGUGACGGUACCUGCAGAAGAAGCCCCGGCUAACUACGUGCCAGCAGCCGCGGUAAUACGUAGGGGGCAAGCGUUGUCCGGAUUUAUUGGGCGUAAAGAGCGUGUAGGCGGUUUGGUAGGUCCGCUGUGAAAACUCGAGGCUCAACCUCGAGACGCCGGUGGAAACCAUCAAACUAGAGUCCGGAAGAGGAGAGUGGAAUUCCUGGUGUAGCGGUGAAAUGCGCAGAUAUCAGGAAGAACACCCGUGGCUAAGGCGGCUCUCUAGUACGGUACUGACGCUGAGACGCGAAAGCGUGGGGAGCGAACAGGAUUAGAUACC
This 419-nucleotide ribosomal RNA is filed under the name uncultured bacterium. RNAcentral's name for it is "bacterial SSU rRNA". It matches the Rfam family "Bacterial small subunit ribosomal RNA", at positions 355 to 786 of the family's 1533-position model. The record is from RNAcentral.